RNAcentral lists this ribosomal RNA (444 nucleotides) under uncultured soil bacterium. RNAcentral describes it as "bacterial SSU rRNA". It matches the Rfam family "Bacterial small subunit ribosomal RNA", at positions 26 to 518 of the family's 1533-position model. The record is from RNAcentral.
AGAACGAACGCUGGCGGCAUGCCUAACACAUGCAAGUCGAGCGAGACCUUCGGGUCUAGUGGCGCACGGGUGCGUAACGCGUGGGAAUCUGCCCUUGGGUUCGGAAUAACAGCGAGAAAUUGCUGCUAAUACCGGAUGAUGACGUAAGUCCAAAGAUUUAUCGCCCAAGGAUGAGCCCGCGUAGGAUUAGCUUGUUGGUGAGGUAAGAGCUCACCAAGGCGACGAUCCUUAGCUGGUCUGAGAGGAUGAUCAGCCACACUGGGACUGAGACACGGCCCAGACUCCUACGGGAGGCAGCAGUGGGGAAUAUUGGACAAUGGGCGAAAGCCUGAUCCAGCAAUGCCGCGUGAGUGAUGAAGGCCUUAGGGUUGUAAAGCUCUUUUACCCGGAUGAUAAUGACAGUACCGGAGAAUAAGCUCCGGCUAACUCCGCGCCAGCAGCCGC